ACGGAGGGUGCGAGCGUUAUCCGGAUUUAUUGGGUUUAAAGGGUGCGUAGGCGGAUUAAUAAGUCAGUGGUGAAAACCUUCAGCUUAACUGGAGAACUGCCAUUGAUACUGUUAGUCUUGAGUACGGUCAAGGUAGGCGGAAUGUGUAAUGUAGCGGUGAAAUGCUUAGAUAUUGGGCAGAACACCGAUUGCGAAGGCAGCUUACUGGGCAAUUACUGACGCUGAGGCACGAAAGCGUGGGGAGCGAACAG
This 251-nucleotide ribosomal RNA is filed under the name uncultured prokaryote. RNAcentral describes it as "partial 16S rRNA". It matches the Rfam family "Bacterial small subunit ribosomal RNA", at positions 525 to 775 of the family's 1533-position model. The record is from RNAcentral.